GUAGGGUGCAAGCGUUAAUCGGAAUUACUGGGCGUAAAGCGUGCGCAGGCGGUUUUGUAAGUCUGUCGUGAAAGCCCCGGGCUUAACCUGGGAAUUGCGAUGGAGACUGCAAGGCUUGAAUCUGGCAGAGGGGGGUAGAAUUCCACGUGUAGCAGUGAAAUGCGUAGAGAUGUGGAGGAACACCGAUGGCGAAGGCAGCCCCCUGGGUCAAGAUUGACGCUCAUGCACGAAAGCGUGGGGGGGAGCAAACAGGAUUAGAUACCCUGGUAGUCCACGCCCUAAACGAUGUCUACUAGUUGUCGGGUCUUAAUUGACUUGGUAACGCAGCUAACGCGUGAAGUAGACCGCCUGGGAUACGGUCGCAAGAUUA
This 370-nucleotide ribosomal RNA is filed under the name uncultured organism. RNAcentral's name for it is "partial 16S ribosomal RNA". It matches the Rfam family "Bacterial small subunit ribosomal RNA", at positions 527 to 896 of the family's 1533-position model. The record is from RNAcentral.